CCAGCCGGCCGGGCGGCCGCUGUCGCUAAUUGCCCGAAAGGGUUGCGGCAGAGGAAAGUCCGGGCUCCAUGGAAACACGAUGCCGGACAAAAUCCGGCUGGGGAAACGAGGCGUUCCCGCAAGGGAUCGGGUCGCCAACCCAAGGGAAAGCGCCACAGAAAGCAAACCACCGCGGUUUUCGCGGCAAGGGUGAAAGGGUGGGGUAAGAGCCCACCGCGCUCGCCGGUAACGGCGGCGGCACGGCAAGCCCCAUCGGGAGCAAGACCGAAUAGGGACAGCGUGGGGCAGGGAAACCUGCCCGGGUCGGUUUCCGGGCCGGCUGUCCGGGUGGGUCGCGCGAGGCGUCCGGUAACGGACGUCCCAGAGGAAUGGUCGCCGCGUCAGGGCCGGGAAACCGGCCAUGGCCAUACAGAACCCGGCUUACAGGCCGGCUGGCAUC
This 439-nucleotide RNase P RNA is filed under the name Nitratireductor sp. Its description in RNAcentral is "RNase P RNA component class A". It matches the Rfam family "Bacterial RNase P class A". Rfam says of the family: Ribonuclease P (RNase P) is a ubiquitous endoribonuclease, found in archaea, bacteria and eukarya as well as chloroplasts and mitochondria. Its best characterised activity is the generation of mature 5'-ends of tRNAs by cleaving the 5'-leader elements of precursor-tRNAs. Lineage: Bacteria; Pseudomonadati; Pseudomonadota; Alphaproteobacteria; Hyphomicrobiales; Phyllobacteriaceae. The record is from RNAcentral.